Long non-coding RNA from Chelonia mydas (Green sea turtle), 314 nucleotides. RefSeq lists it as uncharacterized. The record is from RefSeq and is a predicted model, not a curated record. The transcript is spliced from 2 exons. NCBI's taxonomy places the organism in Eukaryota, Metazoa, Chordata, Testudines, Cheloniidae.
GAACAAAUUUAUUUGAGCAUAACGAAAGCUUGUGCUCAAAUAAAUUGGUUAGUCUCUAAGGUGCCACAAGUACUCCUUUCCUUUUUGCGGAUACAGACUAACACGGCUGCUACUCAGAAACCUCUCUAACGAUGACAUCAUGACAGAAACACAUUUUAGACAAAUUCUUUGAACUAAUUGCAUAUGACCACUAAUCAAUCUUGAGUAAACACCUCGGACACACAAAGGAACAACAAGCUAUAUGCGCGAAAGAGAGAGAGAGAAUUUACCAGAGAAAAGACUGGUAAUCUCCAGGCAGGCAUUGAGAAAGUGAG